UAGGGAAUCUUCGGCAAUGGACGAAAGUCUGACCGAGCAACGCCGCGUGAGUGAAGAAGGUUUUCGGAUCGUAAAACUCUGUUGUUAGAGAAGAACAAGGACGUUAGUAACUGAACGUCCCCUGACGGUAUCUAACCAGAAAGCCACGGCUAACUACGUGCCAGCAGCCGCGGUAAUACGUAGGUGGCAAGCGUUGUCCGGGUUUAUUGGGCGUAAAGCGAGCGCAGGCGGUUUCUUAAGUCUGAUGUGAAAGCCCCCGGCUCAACCGGGGAGGGUCAUUGGAAACUGGGAGACUUGAGUGCAGAAGAGGAGAGUGGAAUUCCAUGUGUAGCGGUGAAAUGCGUAGAUAUAUGGAGGAACACCAGUGGCGAAGGCGGCUCUCUGGACUGUAACUGACGCUGAGGCUCGAAAGCGUGGGGAGCAAACAGG
RNAcentral lists this ribosomal RNA (429 nucleotides) under Gemmatimonadota bacterium. RNAcentral describes it as "Gemmatimonadetes bacterium partial 16S ribosomal RNA". It matches the Rfam family "Bacterial small subunit ribosomal RNA", at positions 355 to 776 of the family's 1533-position model. The record is from RNAcentral. Lineage: Bacteria; Pseudomonadati; Gemmatimonadota.